GAAAAUGUCACAAAACAAUGCUUAAUAAACUUUGUUUUUUUAAAAUGCAGAAAGCUGAAAGAGCUAAUCAUCAACUUGAAUAUUUCCUAAAAACUGAGAAGGCCAAGACAACCAUGGAAAUGGAUAUUAGUAAAAUAAAAGUUAAAGGUGAGGAUUCAGAAAAUAUACCACUGGAAAAAGAAAGGAGAAAAGCGUCAGUUUCACAUUCAGCUGGACAAAAGAGAGAUGAAAUUCAAGAACAAUCAAAGAUUUCAUUCAUCCACCAUGGAAGUCCAAUUGAAGAAAGAUCCUAAUAGAAUUUCUGAAAUACUUUGGAAAAGUCUCCCAAACCUUCAGAGAAUGGAUGGGAGCGAAGUAAGGAGACCCCACCUGAACAGACACCUGGUAUUACCUACAAUAAAGUACAAAAUUGUUUUGCACUUGACAACAUUGAGCUAUUUAUUUUGGCUUAGGGAAUGAGUUAGUGGCAAAUAUUUAAUUAAACACAUA
RNAcentral lists this long non-coding RNA (489 nucleotides) under Dasypus novemcinctus (nine-banded armadillo). Its description in RNAcentral is "lncRNA (ENSDNOG00000050524.1)". Lineage: Eukaryota; Metazoa; Chordata; Mammalia; Cingulata; Dasypodidae. The record is from RNAcentral.